UACGUAGGGGGCAAGCGUUGUCCGGAUUUAUUGGGCGUAAAGAGCUCGUAGGCGGUUCCGUAAGUCGGGUGUGAAAAAUCUGGGCUCAACCCAGUGGAGCACCCGAUACUGCGGUGACUCGAGUCCGGUAGGGGAGUGUGGAAUUCCUGGUGUAGCGGUGAAAUGCGCAGAUAUCAGGAGGAACACCGAUGGCGAAGGCAGGUCUCUGGGCCGAUACUGACGCUGAGGAGCGAAAGCGUGGGGAGCGAACAGG
Molecule: ribosomal RNA, 253 nt
Filed under: uncultured bacterium
Lineage: Bacteria
Description: partial 16S ribosomal RNA
Rfam family: Bacterial small subunit ribosomal RNA
Source: RNAcentral